Molecule: non-coding RNA, 107 nt
Filed under: Paenisporosarcina sp. HGH0030
Lineage: Bacteria; Bacillati; Bacillota; Bacilli; Caryophanales; Caryophanaceae
Also listed under: 1 other name
Description: TPP riboswitch aptamer (THI element)
Rfam family: TPP riboswitch aptamer (THI element)
About the family: Vitamin B(1) in its active form thiamin pyrophosphate (TPP) is an essential coenzyme that is synthesised by coupling of pyrimidine and thiazole moieties in bacteria. The previously detected thiamin-regulatory element, thi box was extended, resulting in a new, highly conserved RNA secondary structure, the THI element, which is widely distributed in eubacteria and also occurs in some archaea. Analysis of operon structures identified a large number of new candidate thiamin-regulated genes, mostly transporters, in various prokaryotic organisms.
Source: Rfam by way of RNAcentral
AAUUUGCACUAGGGGUGCUAUAGUUUGGCUGAGAUGAGAGCAUUUGCUCCGAUCCCUUAACACUCGAUCCAGGUAAUACUGGCGUGAGGAAGUGCGGUGACCUUUGC